AUUGAACGCUGGCGGCAUGCCUUACACAUGCGAAGUCGAACGGCCAGCACGGAGCAAUCCUGGUGGCGAGUGGCGAACGGGUGAGUAAUAUAUCGGAACGUGCCCAGGUCGUAGGGGGAUAACGUAGCGAAAGCUACGCUAAUACCGCAUACGAUCUAUGGAUGAAAGCGGGGGAUCGCAAGACCUCGCGCGAUUGGAGCGGCCGAUAUCAGAUUAGGUAGUUGGUGAGGUAAAGGCUCACCAAGCCGACGAUCUGUAGCUGGUCUGAGAGGACGACCAGCCACACUGGGACUGAGACACGGCCCAGACUCCUACGGGAGGCAGCAGUGGGAAUUUUGGACAAUGGGCGCAAGCCUGAUCCAGCAAUGCCGCGUGCAGGAUGAAGGCCUUCGGGUUGUAAACUGCUUUUGUACGGAACGAAACGGUGAGCUCUAAUACAGUUUGCUAAUGACGGUACCGUAAGAAUAAGCACCGGCUAACUACGUG
This 486-nucleotide ribosomal RNA is filed under the name uncultured bacterium. RNAcentral's name for it is "bacterial SSU rRNA". It matches the Rfam family "Bacterial small subunit ribosomal RNA", at positions 30 to 507 of the family's 1533-position model. The record is from RNAcentral.